GCUGGGUGUGGUGUCGGAUGCCUGUAAUCCCAGCUACUCAGGAGGCUGAGGCAGGAGAAUCGCUUGAACCCGGGAGGCAGAGGUUGCAGUGAGCCGAGAUCACGCCACUGCACUCCAGCCUGGGCAACAGAGCGAGAUUCUGUCUCAA
Molecule: unclassified non-coding RNA, 148 nt
Organism: Pongo abelii (Sumatran orangutan)
Lineage: Eukaryota; Metazoa; Chordata; Mammalia; Primates; Hominidae
Rfam family: Metazoan signal recognition particle RNA
About the family: The signal recognition particle (SRP) is a universally conserved ribonucleoprotein. It is involved in the co-translational targeting of proteins to membranes.
Source: Ensembl